RNAcentral lists this ribosomal RNA (458 nucleotides) under uncultured bacterium. Its description in RNAcentral is "bacterial SSU rRNA". It matches the Rfam family "Bacterial small subunit ribosomal RNA", at positions 29 to 506 of the family's 1533-position model. The record is from RNAcentral.
AUGAACGCUGGCGGCGUGCCUAAUACAUGCAAGUCGAACGGAGAAUGUAGCAAUACGUUCUUAGUGGCGAAUGGGUGCGUAACACGUAGAUGACCUACCCCAAAGUUUGGAAUAACAGCUCGAAAGAGCUGCUAAUACCGGAUGUGGUCUUGGAAAUUAGAAUACCAAGUCUAAAGCUGUAAAGCGCUUUGGGAGGGGUCUGCGGUCCAUCAGCUAGUUGGUAGGGUAACGGCCUACCAAGGCUACGACGGAUAGGGGACCUGAGAGGGUGACCCCCCACAUUGACACUGAAACACGGGUCAGACGCCUACGGGUGGCAGCAGUAAGGAAUAUUGCUCAAUGGGCGAAAGCCUGAAGCAGCAACGCCGCGUGAGCGAUGAAGGCCUUCGGGUCGUAAAGCUCUUUUCGGGGAGAUGAGGAAGGACAGUAUCCCCGGAAUAAGGUACGGCUAACUACGU